This is a long non-coding RNA of Uranotaenia lowii, 1238 nucleotides long. RefSeq lists it as uncharacterized. The transcript has 3 exons. Lineage: Eukaryota; Metazoa; Arthropoda; Insecta; Diptera; Culicidae. The record is from RefSeq and is a predicted model, not a curated record.
GUAGAGAUUAGCUAAAGGAAUUCUAGUAAUUUGAUGACAGCUCCAGAUGAUGUUGAAGUAAAUAAAUAACGAUUUUCCACUUUCACUGACGAGUUGUUACCUUGUCGCGAUAGCGAUGCCACAGACACGGUCAGUGAAUGCAUUCGUCGAGAAAGUGGGUGAAACUAUAUUUGGGCCCAGUCAUAGCUUCCCUACCGAUCACCCACCGUACAAUUAAUAGCUCUGGUAUGGAUGUCCUUCACGUGCCUACAUCGUAGCCUCCACCGCUUGGUCGGUCCAGUGAAAAAGAUGCAUGCACUAUACUUUUGUCGGAAGAUGAAUCCCUCAAAAAGGGUUUUGGCACAAAAAACUAAACCCACAUUUCGAUUCGAUCACCCGGGAGUUUUUUUAGUUGCCAUAAGCAAUGAUACUAAUCUGCAGAAUGAUUCUGGUAGCCAUUUUUAUAGCCGUAACUUUUAACAUGCAACGUCAAAGAUGUAAAUGCGAGGAAAAUACAUUAAGAAAAAUUCAAUAAAAUAAAUUUGAAGAUGAUUUACCGUGAUUUACCAUCGAAAUAAACCUCCGGUGGUACAGAACAAGGUCAUCAACAAAAAAGCCCAGUAGCAACAGCAACAGAAGCAUCAAAGCUAGCCCAAAACUUUUUUACGGAGGUGUUGAAAAACUAGUAUCUUGUCAACCAAUUUCGUAAAUUGAGUCUACCAUUUCCGAAAAUUUCGGAGGGUACGAAACCGCAGCUAGACCAAGUAUAUCAACUACUUCAAUCAAUAUUCCUCCGUAUUUUCUCGGAUAAUGAUGAAGUUGUGAAAAAAUCGGGAUCUCAACCUACUAGGAAAACAAGUUCGACUGCUACCACUGCAUGUGCUAUAACAACAAUUGGUGCACCAACGUUCAGCUCCGGAACGAUGACUGGUAAUUUGAGUGAUUCUAUUUAAGAUCAGUAUUGGUCAGUGAGAUCAUCGAAAGGAAUUUUAUUGAACAAGUUUUUUUUAAUGUUAUUUUCAGUCAACAGAAAAAAAUUUUACGGGCAACGUUCGGCUGCAUCAAUUCGAUGGGUUCCAGAUUGAAAAGCGGGACAAGUAUUCACAUGAGAUGAAACUGCCAAUAUAAACGUACCAACCAAAUCAUUAAAAUCGUCGAGUGUUUCAACAGCAUCAGACAAACAGAUACCGCGGCCUGCCUAACCUACACUAUGAAGCACACAAGAAAAAAGUUCGACCUAAAUUCCUUGGCUGUGUACU